GCCUGUCACUGCUCUUGUUUGUUCUUGGAAGCUAAGAAGGGCUUGGCCUGGUUAGUACUUAGAUGGGAGAGUGCCUGGGACUACCAGGUGUAGUAGGCU
This 99-nucleotide ribosomal RNA is filed under the name Salvator merianae (Argentine black and white tegu). Lineage: Eukaryota; Metazoa; Chordata; Lepidosauria; Squamata; Teiidae. The record is from RNAcentral.